CCUGAAAUCAAGCACCAAGCAAAAGACCACCAUUUUCAGCACAUUGGCCAGUGAGAAGUCCUUAUCUGACUGCAAAAAGGAACAGCAAUGGAAACCUUCCAUGUACAGCAGCAUAACUCCAGUUUGCUUUCCAAGCCCUCUGAUUGAGAAGCCAAUAGACAAAGUAAGAAUGAACGUACUUUUAUCAGACACGAUGAUUCGAGCCAGUUGGCUGUUAUUUCUUUUUGCCUUGAGCUAUUU
This 240-nucleotide long non-coding RNA is filed under the name Pan troglodytes (chimpanzee). RNAcentral describes it as "long non-coding RNA NONPTRT012522". Lineage: Eukaryota; Metazoa; Chordata; Mammalia; Primates; Hominidae. The record is from RNAcentral.